GCUUGUAGUUACUUUCUUGCCAUAGAGUUGAACUAGUAAAAGGUGCCCAUGCUGCGAGUGCAGUCGUAACGCUUUGACGUUGGAUCCGAGCCCAUGGAGAAAGUUGGAGCUGUAGAGCUGUAUGUUUUUGGACAAAGUCAUCAAUUCCAUUGCUCUUCCUAUGCCAAGUGGCCAGGAUAAUGGUUGAAAUUGCUACAAUAAAGGUUAUGAUCAACAACAUUUGUUGAAA
Long non-coding RNA from Rhipicephalus sanguineus (brown dog tick), 229 nucleotides. RefSeq lists it as uncharacterized. The record is from RefSeq and is a predicted model, not a curated record. The transcript is spliced from 3 exons. NCBI's taxonomy places the organism in Eukaryota, Metazoa, Arthropoda, Arachnida, Ixodida, Ixodidae.